GAAGGUUUUGUGGCCCUUCGAAGCCGCCCUGCGGGGGGAGGCUUCAAACCACCUCAUGCCGUGACGAGGCAACCGUUACGG
Non-coding RNA from Streptomyces atratus, 81 nucleotides. The record is from Rfam. Lineage: Bacteria; Bacillati; Actinomycetota; Actinomycetes; Kitasatosporales; Streptomycetaceae.